Molecule: ribosomal RNA, 227 nt
Filed under: uncultured bacterium
Lineage: Bacteria
Description: partial 16S ribosomal RNA
Rfam family: Bacterial small subunit ribosomal RNA
Source: RNAcentral
AAGGAAUAUUGGUCAAUGGACGCAAGUCUGAACCAGCCAUGCCGCGUGAAGGAUGAAGGUCCUCUGGAUUGUAAACUUCUUUUAUCUGGGACGAAAACGGGAUUUUUAUCUCAAUUGACGGUACCAGAGGAAUAAGCACCGGCUAACUCCGUGCCAGCAGCCGCGGUAAUACGGAGGGUGCGAGCGUUAUCCGGAUUUACUGGGUUUAAAGGGUGCGUAGGUGGGCU